UGGCUUAUGUCUCCAGCUACCCAUUAUGGGUGCUCAUUUCUUCAGUUAUCCAAGUUCAUGUCCAAGAAGUCAACCUUGAUUUUUCACACUUCCUAACAGUCUGCAUUCAAUCAGAUGCCAAGUAUCAUUGAUUUCAACUCAUCACCAUGUCAUGUUAAUAUUUUGGUAUGCAAUCCCUCAAUGCUUUUCUCAACCAUCAUACCAGCUGACCUUCUUAUAUCAGGAAUGGCAGAAGAAAUCAUACCUUCAGAAGGAAAUUAAGAUCAUCUCAUCAACUUCAUGAAGGAAAGGAA
RNAcentral lists this long non-coding RNA (293 nucleotides) under Monodelphis domestica (gray short-tailed opossum). RNAcentral describes it as "lncRNA (ENSMODG00000046447.1)". Lineage: Eukaryota; Metazoa; Chordata; Mammalia; Didelphimorphia; Didelphidae. The record is from RNAcentral.